Molecule: long non-coding RNA, 202 nt
Filed under: Gossypium raimondii (Peruvian cotton)
Lineage: Eukaryota; Viridiplantae; Streptophyta; Magnoliopsida; Malvales; Malvaceae
Description: long non-coding RNA (GRAI_LNC005404)
Source: RNAcentral
AAAAUAAUACUAAUAAUAAAAAUACGAACUAAAAAUAAUACGAGUAAACAAGUUAUCACAAACAGAUUUCACUAUGACUAAGAAAAUAAAAAAAUGACAAUAAUUAUAAUAAUCAUCAAAACAAUAACACAAAUAAUAAUAGUAAAAAUAAACUAUAACCCAAACAGACACUACUAAAAUAAGAAUAACAGGAAUAAUAAAA